AGUGAACGCUGGCGGUAGGCCUAACACAUGCAAGUCGAACGGCAGCACAGUAAGAGCUUGCUCUUACGGGUGGCGAGUGGCGGACGGGUGAGGAAUACAUCGGAAUCUACUUUUUCGUGGGGGAUAACGUAGGGAAACUUACGCUAAUACCGCAUACGAACUACGGGUGAAAGCAGGGGAUCUUCGGACCUUGCGCGAUUGAAUGAGCCGAUGUCGGAUUAGCUAGUUGGCGGGGUAAAGGCCCACCAAGGCGACGAUCCGUAGCUGGUCUGAGAGGAUGAUCAGCCACUCUGGAACUGAGACACGGUCCAGACUCCUACGGGAGGCAGCAGUGGGGAAUAUUGGACAAUGGGCGCAAGCCUGAUCCAGCCAUACCGCGUGUGUGAAGAAGGCCUUCGGGUUGUAAAGCCCUUUUGUUGGGAAAGAAAAGCAGCAAGUUAAUACCCCGCUGUUCUGACGGUACCCAAAGAAUAAGCACCGGCUAACUUCGUG
Molecule: ribosomal RNA, 492 nt
Filed under: uncultured bacterium
Lineage: Bacteria
Description: partial 16S ribosomal RNA
Rfam family: Bacterial small subunit ribosomal RNA
Source: RNAcentral